UCGGGUUGUAAAGCACUUUUGUCCGGAAAGAAAACUUCUGCCCUAAUACGGUGGGAGGAUGACGGUACCGGAAGAAUAAGCACCGGCUAACUACGUGCCAGCAGCGCGGUAAUCGUAGGGUGCGAGCGUUAAUCGGAAUUACUGGGCGUAAAGCGUGCGCAGGCGGUUCGUUAAGACAGAUGUGAAAUCCCCGGGCUUAACCUGGGAACUGCAUUUGUGACUGGCGAGCUAGAGUAUGGCAGAGGGGGGUAGAAUUCCACGUGUAGCAGUGAAAUGCGUAGAGAUGUGGAGGAAUACCGAUGGCGAAGGCAGCCCCCUGGGCCAAUACUGACGCUCAUGCACGAAAGCGUGGGGAGCAAACAGGAUUAGAUACCCUGGUAGUCCACGCCCUAAACGAUGUCAACUAGUUGUUGGGGAUUCAUUUCCUUAGUAACGUAGCUAACGCGUGAAGUUGACCGCCUGGGGAGUACGGUCGCAAGAUUAAAACUCAAAGGAAUUGACGGGGACCCGCACAAGCGGUGGAUGAAUGUGGAUUAAUUCGAUGCAACGCGAAAAACCUUACCUACCCUUGACAUGGUCGGAACCCUGCUG
This 591-nucleotide ribosomal RNA is filed under the name uncultured Burkholderia sp. RNAcentral describes it as "bacterial SSU rRNA". It matches the Rfam family "Bacterial small subunit ribosomal RNA", at positions 418 to 1003 of the family's 1533-position model. The record is from RNAcentral. Lineage: Bacteria; Pseudomonadati; Pseudomonadota; Betaproteobacteria; Burkholderiales; Burkholderiaceae.